UACGGAGGGUGCAGGCGUUAUCCGGAUUCACUGGGUUUAAAGGGAGCGUAGGUGGGCUGGUAAGUCAGUGGUGAAAUCUCCGAGCUUAACUUGGAAACUGCCAUUGAUACUAUUAGUCUUGAAUAUUGUGGAGGUCAGCGGAAUAUGUCAUGUAGCGGUGAAAUGCUUAGAGAUGACAUAGAACACCAAUUGCGAAGGCAGCUGGCUACGCAUAUAUUGACACUGAGGCUCGAAAGCGUGGGGAUCAAACAGG
RNAcentral lists this ribosomal RNA (253 nucleotides) under uncultured bacterium. RNAcentral's name for it is "partial 16S ribosomal RNA". It matches the Rfam family "Bacterial small subunit ribosomal RNA", at positions 524 to 776 of the family's 1533-position model. The record is from RNAcentral.